AGAGUUUGUUCCUGGCUCAGGAUGAACGCUGGCGGCGUGCUUAACACAUGCAAGUCGAGCGAAGCAGUUAAGAAGAUUCUUCGGAUGAUUUUUAACUGACUGAGCGGCGGACGGGUGAGUAACGCGUGGGUGACCUGCCCCAUACCGGGGGAUAACAGCUGGAAACGGCUGCUAAUACCCGCAUAAGCGCACAGAGCUGCAUGGCUCAGUGUGAAAAACUCCGGUGGUAUGGGAUGGGCCCGCGUCUGAUUAGGCAGUUGGCGGGGUAACGGCCCACCAAACCGACGAUCAGUAGCCGGCCUGAGAGGGCGACCGGCCACAUUGGGACUGAGACACGGCCCAAACUCCUACGGGAGGCAGCAGUGGGGAAUAUUGCACAAUGGGGGAAACCCUGAUGCAGCGACGCCGCGUGAGCGAAGAAGUAUUUCGGUAUGUAAAGCUCUAUCAGCAGGGAAGAUAAUGACGGUACCUGACUAAGAAGCCCCGGCUAACUACGUGCCAGCAGCCGCGGUAAUACGUAGGGGGCAAGCGUUAUCCGGAUUUACUGGGUGUAAAGGGAGCGUAGACGGCAAGGCAAGUCUGAUGUGAAAACCCAGGGCUUAACCCUGGGACUGCAUUGGAAACUGUCUGGCUCGAGUGCCGGAGAGGUAAGCGGAAUUCCUAGUGUAGCGGUGAAAUGCGUAGAUAUUAGGAAGAACACCAGUGGCGAAGGCGGCUUACUGGACGGUAACUGACGUUGAGGCUCGAAAGCGUGGGGAGCAAACAGGAUUAGAUACCCUGGUAGUCCACGCCGUAAACGAU
Molecule: ribosomal RNA, 801 nt
Filed under: uncultured bacterium
Lineage: Bacteria
Description: bacterial SSU rRNA
Rfam family: Bacterial small subunit ribosomal RNA
Source: RNAcentral